This 27-nucleotide non-coding RNA is filed under the name Rattus norvegicus (Norway rat). The record is from RNAcentral. Lineage: Eukaryota; Metazoa; Chordata; Mammalia; Rodentia; Muridae.
UGCCGCACUAUUAAUUUAAUCCCUAUA